CCAGAAUCUGACUCCAGAAGCACUGGGACACAGCGACCUUUAUCCCAUUUGGUUGUGUUCAUGGCUCAGUGGUGGUGGUCCUUGUGAACGCAGUUGCGUUAUUAGUGGAGCUGAUCCCAAAAGCGCAAACUGGCCAGCGUACGGUGGGUCUGCACGUCAUUCUCCUACCGACUGAAUGCGUCUUUGCUGUGUGCUGCCUUGCUUUACAAAUAUCUGCUUUCUAGCGGACACUACGCUCCGUGUAAUUACAGCCGGAUCGGUUUAGUACUUGUGCAUGCUCUAAACACGACCAGUUUCUCUUCUAAAACACUGUCACGUUUUCCCCAUCACACACAUGGAAGAAGAACAGAGUAAGAAAAGACAUCGACUGGCUGCAAUGAACGUGUGGGUGUAAACAGAAACACAGGGUGAGUACGUCACGGUGUGAUAUUAAACACGGAAGAAAAAACGGAUUAACAUCAUUAACUUGUGCGGCUUUUACAUUAAACAUCAUACAAACGCAGGGCUCACCUCUGAACUGAAUAGACUGGACGCACUCGUCUGAUCACCUCAAGGAUUGUUUUAAAGAUGCUUGUAAUGUGUUCUAUUUUUGUUGUUGUUAUUGUUGUUGUUUUUACAAUCUUUUGUGUGACACUUAAAUGUGAAUUUCUUGUCUUCAUGUUUGAGCCUCCUGUAGAAUAGUUUUUAUUAUCUAAUUGCUAGAUUUAAUGACUGGAUUUAUUCAUUUAUUAUUUUUGUUGAGUUCUUUUGCAUUUCAAGAGUUAAGACUGAUUGCAGCAAGAGGAAACAUGGCAUGUUGUACGUUAAACAAUGAGAAU
RNA transcript from Ictalurus punctatus (channel catfish), 818 nucleotides. RefSeq lists it as uncharacterized. The record is from RefSeq and is a predicted model, not a curated record. The transcript has 5 exons. NCBI's taxonomy places the organism in Eukaryota, Metazoa, Chordata, Actinopteri, Siluriformes, Ictaluridae.